CAGUGAUUCAUCUUUCUUCGCCUCCCCACCCAUCACCUUGAAGGCAGGUUCCCAAGUUCCCUUCCUCUCUUUCUAACCUCCUUUCACACCGAAAGUCGUAAGCAUCACCACCACCAAAUGAGGGUGCAGAGACAAGAGAACAUGGAGCUAGAGGAGCACCUCAUUCACUCACGCAUGCAUUGACCCACCAACAGAUAACUUCUCUUCCUCCCAUCAGAGCCUAGUGUGGGAGGAAACACUCUGGUCAGGAGUGAGAAGGGGCCACUGGAUGCUCAGGAAGCAUUAGUCAAAUGAGCACACGAGUUGAAUGAAAACAAGUACUGGGCCUUGACCUCAAGCAGCUUAUAGUCUAGUAGGGCAGGCAUACCCACUCACCACCCACACACCCCGAGCCAACAGGGGUCCAGAUGCACCUGUGGGACCUGAAUCUCAAGGAGGCCCAGGGGUAUGGUGGCCUGGCCCUUGUCCUGACCAGGUAAGGGACAAUCAUCUGCCUGUUUGUUUUGUCCUGCCACCGCCUCUCCAAAUGGGUUUGGUGAAUGCAACAAGAGGAAGCUGCAGGGGGAGCUGAAUUGGUGCUGGGAGGGAGUUGGGCAGAUCCAUGUAGUCGUCCCACCCUUUGCUGGGGCUUUCUGCCAGCACAGGGACCUUUGGGUCCUAAAACGAAUGCCCUCCCCCUCUGGUUGUUUCCUGUCCUCCACCCCCACCCCCCACCUCCACCUCAUAGCAGGAAUUGGAGACAGCUGCUCAAGGGCUGAAAUCUAAACCAGUCAUUGUGUCCCUCCUUUUGGCUUUGUUUGUCCACGUGUGUGUGUGUGCGUGUGUGUGUGUGUGUGUGUGCAUGUGUGUGUGUGCACGCGUGCGUGUGCUCCUGGGCUAGGGUAGUUGCUCACUGUGGAUCUUGGAGUUCCUGUCAUUGUGGCUUAGUGGUAAUGAACCCAACUAGGAUCCAUGAAGAUUUGGGUUCAAUCCCUGGCCUUGCUCAGGUGUUGAUGUGGGAAGUGGUGUAGUUCAUAGACAUGGCUCAGAUCCCAAGUUGCUGUUGCUGUAGUGUAGGCCAGCAGCUGUAUCUCCAAUUCGACUCCUAGCCUGGGAACUGCCAUAUGCCCCCAGUGAGGCCCUAAAAAGACAAAAAAAUAAAAAAAUAAUAUGGAGAAUUCCUGCUGUGCACAGUGGGUUAAGAAUCUGAUUGCAGUGGCUCAGGUCCCUACAGAGGUGCAAGUUCAAUGCUGGCCCAGUACAGUGGGUUAAAGGAUCUGGUAUUGCUGAAGCUGCAGGGUAGGUAGAAGCUAUGACUUGGAUUCAAUCCCAAGCACAGGAACUUCCACAUGCCGUGGGCAUGGCCAUUGGGAAAAAAAAAAAAAAUGAUGUAUGGGAUGUAUUUUUUUUAACUGGAAAUGCUUUUUUACUGUGGUAAAAUAUGUAUAACAUUUUCCAUCUUAGCCAAGUGUAUAAUUCAGUGGCAUUAACAUUGAUUGCCAACACUGACAUUGUUGGGCAACUGUCACUACUACUCAGCUCCAGAACCUUUUCGUCUUCCCAAACUGAAACUCUAUACCCAUUAAACACUAACUCCCCAUCCUCCAUCCCCCAGCACCUGACAACCACCAUUCUAUUUUCCAUCUCUAAGAAUUUGACUGUCCUAGGUACCUCACAUAAAUAGACUCAUACAGUGUUUAUCCUUUUGUGACUGGCUCAUCACACAAAGCAUAAUUUCCUCAAGAUGCAUCUGUGUUGUGGCAUGUGUCAGAAUCUCCUUUUUAUGGCUGAAAAAUAUUCCAUUAUAUGAUAUACCACAUUUUGUUUAUCCAUUUGUCCUUUACACUUGAGGAACUUCCACCUUUUGGCUGUUGUAAUAAUGCUGCCAAGCAUAUCAUUAUUGCAUAUAUGAGUGUAGAAAUAUUUAUUUGACGGAGUUCCCGCUGUGACUCAGUGGAAAUGAAUAUGACUGUUAUUCAUAAGCACGCAGGUUCGACCCUUGGCCUCGCUCAGUGGGUUAAGGAUCUGGUGUUGCCACGAGCUGUGGUGUAGGUCACAGAUGCGGCUCAGAUCCCGAGUUGCUGUGGUAUAAGCUGGCAGCUGCAGCUCCGAUCCUUCCCCUAGCCCGAGAACCUCCAUAUGUCACGGUGCGGCCCUAAAAAGACAAAAAAAGACACACACACAAAAAGAGAGAUAUUUAUUUGAGUUCUGGCCUUCAUUAAGUAUCUUUAAAGAGUUCAGGCAGGAAUUCCCAUCGUGGCUCAGAGGUAACAAACCUAACUAGUAUCCAUGAGGACACGGGUUCAAUCCCUGGCCUUGUCCUAGGGGUUAAGGAUUCAGUAUUGCCAUGAGCUGUGGUAUAGUUCACAGAUGCGGCUCGGAUCUGGUGUUGCUGUGACUGUGGUGUAGGCUGGCAGCCGCAGCUGCAAUACAACUCCUGGCCUGGGAACUUCCAUA
This 2436-nucleotide long non-coding RNA is filed under the name Sus scrofa (pig). Its description in RNAcentral is "lncRNA (ENSSSCG00050003224.1)". The record is from RNAcentral. Lineage: Eukaryota; Metazoa; Chordata; Mammalia; Artiodactyla; Suidae.